RNAcentral lists this ribosomal RNA (459 nucleotides) under uncultured bacterium. RNAcentral's name for it is "partial 16S ribosomal RNA". It matches the Rfam family "Bacterial small subunit ribosomal RNA", at positions 338 to 795 of the family's 1533-position model. The record is from RNAcentral.
CCUACGGGAGGCAGCAGUGAGGAAUAUUGGUCAAUGGGCGGAAGCCUGAACCAGCCAAGUAGCGUGCAGGAUGACGGCCCUACGGGUUGUAAACUGCUUUUAUACGGGAAUAAAACAGGGUAUGCAUACCCUCUUGUAUUUACCAUAUGAAUAAGGAUCGGCUAACUCCGUGCCAGCAGCCGCGGUAAUACGGAGGAUCCGAGCGUUAUCCGGAUUUAUUGGGUUUAAAGGGAGCGUAGGUGGAUUGUUAAGUCAGCGGUAAAAUUGCGGGGCUCAACCCCGUCGAGCCGUUGAAACUGGCAGACUUGAGUUGGCGAGAAGUACGCGGAAUGCGCGGUGUAGCGGUGAAAUGCAUAGAUAUCGCGCAGAACUCCGAUUGCGAAGGCAGCGUACCGGCGCCAGACUGACGCUGAGGCACGAAAGCGUGGGGAUCGAACAGGAUUAGAUACCCCAGUAGUC